Non-coding RNA from Pelobates cultripes (western spadefoot toad), 237 nucleotides. NCBI's taxonomy places the organism in Eukaryota, Metazoa, Chordata, Amphibia, Anura, Pelobatidae. The record is from the annotation of a GenBank genome assembly.
GCAUUGCCUGUAUUGUCUAUCUGCCGAAAGCAGAUAGCUGUAUUUCAAUUCGUUUCACGAACAGCGCCUUUGUGGAUAAACUAUCCUGCAAUAGCCCACACACUAAGAGACGUGUGGCGCUUGUUAACCGAUUGCAACAAUUUUGCGAUCGGUAAUUAGAGGCUCUCCUAGGUUCGACUACCGAACACGCGGCGGUCGGCCAUCUUGGAUCCUUUGUUCCUCCAGCGGUGUUCGGUC